This 497-nucleotide ribosomal RNA is filed under the name uncultured bacterium. RNAcentral's name for it is "partial 16S ribosomal RNA". It matches the Rfam family "Bacterial small subunit ribosomal RNA", at positions 28 to 507 of the family's 1533-position model. The record is from RNAcentral.
GACGAACGCUGGCGGCGUGCCUAAUACAUGCAAGUAGAACGCUGAAGAGAGGAGCUUGCUCUUCUUGGAUGAGUUGCGAACGGGUGAGUAACGCGUAGGUAACCUGCCUUGUAGCGGGGGAUAACUAUUGGAAACGAUAGCUAAUACCGCAUAACAAUGGAUGACACAUGUCAUUUAUUUGAAAGGGGCAAUUGCUCCACUACAAGAUGGACCUGCGUUGUAUUAGCUAGUAGGUGAGGUAAUGGCUCACCUAGGCGACGAUACAUAGCCGACCUGAGAGGGUGAUCGGCCACACUGGAACUGAGACACGGCCCAGACUCCUACGGGAGGCAGCAGUAGGGAAUCUUCGGCAAUGGGGGCAACCCUGACCGAGCAACGCCGCGUGAGUGAAGAAGGUUUUCGGAUCGUAAAGCUCUGUUGUAAGUCAAGAACGGGUGUGAGAGUGGAAAGUUCACACUGUGACGGUAGCUUACCAGAAAGGGACGGCUAACUACGUG